This 326-nucleotide ribosomal RNA is filed under the name uncultured eukaryote. RNAcentral describes it as "partial 18S ribosomal RNA". It matches the Rfam family "Eukaryotic small subunit ribosomal RNA", at positions 1470 to 1796 of the family's 1831-position model. The record is from RNAcentral.
CCCUUAGAUGUUCUGGGCUGCACGCGCGCUACACUGAUGCACUCAACGAGUUUACGACCUUGCCCGAUAGGGUUGGGUAAUCUUUUUAAAAUGCAUCGUGAUGGGGAUAGGUUAUUGCAAUUAUUAAUCUUCAACGAGGAAUUCCUAGUAAGCGCGAGUCAUCAGCUCGUGCUGAUUACGUCCCUGCCCUUUGUACACACCGCCCGUCGCUCCUACCGAUUGAGUGCUCAGGUGAAUAAUUCGGACUGCAGCAAUGUUUGGAUCCCGAACGUUGCAGCGGAAAGUUUAGUGAAUCUUAUCACUUAGAGGAAGGAGAAGUCGUAACA